RNAcentral lists this ribosomal RNA (406 nucleotides) under uncultured bacterium. RNAcentral's name for it is "partial 16S ribosomal RNA". It matches the Rfam family "Bacterial small subunit ribosomal RNA", at positions 30 to 526 of the family's 1533-position model. The record is from RNAcentral.
AUUGAACGCUGGCGGCAGGCUUAACACAUGCAAGUCGAGCGAGCGGCGGACGGGUGAGUAAUGUCUGGGAAACUGCCCGAUGGAGGGGGAUAACUACUGGAAACGGUCUCUAAUACCGCAUACACUCAGCUGUACACAGAUGGGCUUAGCUAGUAGGUGGGGUAAUGGCUCACCUAGGCGACGAUCCCUAGCUGGUCUGAGAGGAUGACCAGCCACACUGGAACUGAGACACGGUCCAGAUUCCGACGGGAGGCAGCAGUGGGGAAUAUUGCACAAUGGGCGCAAGCCUGAUGCAGCCAUGCCGCGUGUGUGAAGAAGGCCUUCGGGUUGUAAAGCACUUUCAGCGAGGAGGCGUUACUCGCAGAAGAAGCACCGGCUAACUCCGUGCCAGCAGCCGCGGUAAUUC